RNAcentral lists this ribosomal RNA (250 nucleotides) under uncultured Desulfatiglans sp. RNAcentral describes it as "partial 16S ribosomal RNA". It matches the Rfam family "Bacterial small subunit ribosomal RNA", at positions 524 to 773 of the family's 1533-position model. The record is from RNAcentral. Lineage: Bacteria; Pseudomonadati; Thermodesulfobacteriota; Desulfobacteria; Desulfatiglandales; Desulfatiglandaceae.
UACGGAGGGUGCGAGCGUUGUUCGGAAUUACUGGGCGUAAAGGGCGUGUAGGCGGAUAGGCAAGUCAGAUGUGAAAGCCCCGGGCUUAACCUGGGAAGUGCAUUUGAAACUGCCGAUCUUGAGUAUGGGAGGGGAGAGUGGAAUUCCCAGUGUAGAGGUGAAAUUCGUAGAUAUUGGGAGGAACAUCUGUGGCGAAGGCGACUCUCUGGACCAAUACUGACGCUGAGACGCGAAAGCGUGGGGAGCAAAC